Molecule: long non-coding RNA, 330 nt
Filed under: Serinus canaria (Common canary)
Lineage: Eukaryota; Metazoa; Chordata; Aves; Passeriformes; Fringillidae
Description: lncRNA (ENSSCAG00000002746.1)
Source: RNAcentral
AUGGAGAGCAGCUCAUGUUACCUCCAGUUGUCCUUCAGUGAUGGCAGGGGAGCUCAGACACUCUCAUCUCCCCCAGCCACUUUUUGGAUGGAACCCUGGAAUUCAAUUGUGCAAAGAUUAAUUAAUAACUCCAUUUCCAUGGCAAGCUCACUGAUUGCUCUGGUUCAGGAGGGUUGGUGUGCUGGCAGUGCAGUGGGAAGGUGCCUGUCCACUCGCGUGCUGCUGUUGCUUAUUGAAGACCAGAGCUCGCUCCCUGCUCGGGCCGCUCCUCAGGAUUCCUAAAGGCGUGGCUCUCCCGGCCCAGCCCACGCCCGUGAGGCGGACACGGAG